Molecule: long non-coding RNA, 326 nt
Organism: Dreissena polymorpha
Lineage: Eukaryota; Metazoa; Mollusca; Bivalvia; Myida; Dreissenidae
Exons: 3
Source: RefSeq, a predicted model, not a curated record
AACAAUGACCGACGAAAGCAAAACUAAUUCGAAAUCAUGGAUGAUUUAUACAUUGCAAAUGGAACUCCUAAUGGCAAUAAGUACGUUUUCAAUCCUUAUGGUCUUUUUGAGAUGUAUUCACAACAACGGUAGUGGAUCCAGUGUGGCUGGAAUGUAAUUCAGUAUUUAGGUGAAGGAAAUGAAACAGAGGCAACAAAACUGGAUGAAGCAAAGAGCGGAAAUCCAGAACAGUUCAUCAUCCCCAAAUGCUGUAACAUCAAUAACGGAUAUGCGAGGUGACCAGGUUUCGGACAGUGGUUAACUCCUGCUUGUGUAUGCGAUUGGCC